Phrynosoma platyrhinos (Desert horned lizard) is the source of this 72-nucleotide non-coding RNA. The record is from the annotation of a GenBank genome assembly. Lineage: Eukaryota; Metazoa; Chordata; Lepidosauria; Squamata; Phrynosomatidae.
GCCAGAGUGGUGUAAUGGUUUACACAUUGAACUAUGACUCUGGAGACCUGGGUUCGAAUCCCUGCUCAGCCA